CCUACUUCAUUCUGUUCUGGACUGGACUGGAAUGGGUCAAUCCCCAUUGCUCCCCAACCACCGCCACCCAACCACGCCGCCGGCACGCGCCCUUCGGCGCCGCCGUAUCUUCUCACCCACCACCGGCACCUCCUCCUCCCCGCCAGCCUCAUCUCCCCACCUCUCCUCGGCGCGCGGCCAGCUCGCCCCGAUCAGAUCGACGGUGGACGCCGUCUCCCUUCUCCCCUGCACCAGGUCGCCGGCUUCCCCCACCACACCUACCACAAGCGCCGCCCCAUUUUCGCAGGCGUAAGAGGAGGCGCCGCGCAGCAGCCAUGGUGGCGUGACUGGCCUGCUCGUCGGCACCGCGUGCGUCGAUUCGACGGCGCGCGCGGCUCCGUCGAUCACGUCGGUCUGCGUCGGGCGCGUGGACGAGGGAGCGCGGCGAACUGCUGCACGCAGCCGCGGGGGUUCCGACGACCAGGAGGUCGAGCUGCUCGUUCCGGAGACGCCGCCGUCCUGGGGCUUGUUGGCGUCGGCUUCAAAGAGGAGAAGAACUGAUGCUGCUGAAGGGCAUAUGAGGUGUGCUGCUGAUGGAAGGGUUUCGCCAUGGCCGGCAAGGGCAGCCUGGAGUGUCUCCAAAAUGAGUAUUACUAUGUGAUCUGCGAGGAGCUGCCGGUGCUGAUUGUGGAUCGCCCGCUUGCCUAGCAACAUGUUGGAGUGGUGUAGUAGGUUGUCCUUAUGUUAUAUACAAAUAAGGGGACUACACUUUGUUUCUUGGCUGCAAUGGUGUGGAAAUGAUAGUGUAGUGACAGGGAACCCAAUGGCAAGUUGGGCUAUUCAUGCAAGCUGUCAAGGGCUGCCUGAUCAUCCUAGCCACGGAUGGCGGUGUUGACUUGUUUGGUUCAGGGGCUAAAUGGAGUUGGCCAGGUGAGGUAGCCAUGGCCGCUUGAUCAUGCCGUCUGGUAGCCUGUGGGUUCAGGAAAUUCUUGAAACCACACAAGCAAAGAUGACGUUUUUCAGAAUUGAUUGGAUGGGUCAAUCAGGUUCACAUUCAGAUGUAGGUUAAACAACCUAGUUUUGCUACUUUUGUAUGUGGCAUGCAAGUCGAGUUUUCUGGUGUAUCAAAGGGCGUUGAUGAACACAAUACUAGUGUCGCUGGAGGUUGGAGUCGAUGGAAGACACUACUAGCGUCCGUCACCACCGACGACUUUCUCUAGCAGGCGGGGAGUGCAAGCCGGACAAAGAAGUGCUCUCCUUGUUUGACUUCCGGAGGCUGGAGUCGAUGAAGCUGGUGCCAUGGAGGAUGUCAGUGUCUCAUGUAAUCUACGGGAUCAUUUUUGCCAGCACCGACUCAGUCCUGAGCCAUGUUCCCAAUUUUUGCCGGCACCAACUCAUUCCUAACAUCUUGGGCUUUUAUAGUUGCCAGCUGGCCCUGUAGUGCCAUAGGGUGGGCAGGCGAGUAUAUGCCGAGCAUCCGUUGCAAAGGAGUGUAUGCUCAGCAGCCAUUGGGUAAAACGGUUGAAUAAAGCAUCGUUGUACUUGUGAGAUACUGAGAUGUGGCCUUGUGUUACUGGAAGAUACAGGACAAACUUGUCCAUGGACAUGGAUUUAUUGUUGGUUAGCGCCAAUCUGGAGGACAUGCCUACCUUAAAUCACUCAAAUGUAUCCGUAUGUAGCUCUAGAAAGGGUAAUGUAUAUUGAGCCGACUUUUCAA
Molecule: non-coding RNA, 1696 nt
Organism: Lolium perenne
Lineage: Eukaryota; Viridiplantae; Streptophyta; Magnoliopsida; Poales; Poaceae
Source: RefSeq, a predicted model, not a curated record